UACGUAGGGGGCUAGCGUUGUCCGGAAUCAUUGGGCGUAAAGCGCGUGUAGGCGGUCCGGUAAGUCCGCUGUGAAAGUCGAGGGCUCAACCCUCGAAUGCCGGUGGAUACUGUCGGGCUAGAGUCCGGAAGAGGCGAGUGGAAUUCCUGGUGUAGCGGUGGAAUGCGCAGAUAUCAGGAGGAACACCAAUAGCGAAGGCAGCUCGCUGGGACGGUACUGACGCUAAGGCGCGAAAGCGUGGGGAGCGAACAGG
RNAcentral lists this ribosomal RNA (253 nucleotides) under uncultured bacterium. RNAcentral's name for it is "partial 16S ribosomal RNA". It matches the Rfam family "Bacterial small subunit ribosomal RNA", at positions 524 to 776 of the family's 1533-position model. The record is from RNAcentral.